GGCUGUUGCAACUUCACAUAUGGUGCUCUGCUUGACCACUUGCUCUGCAAGUUCUGCGAGAAGGCUGCAUUUGUUUCAGACCUGCCAGAGUGUCUGGGACAGCAGUCCUACAAACAACUCCUUGUUUUCCCGUUUCCUUGACCCUAUUGCCAGGCCAAGGCAAAGGGUCUGCCAUGGGCGGCUGCAUGUAAUUUCAUAGGCUGUGCAUCUGAAGUUGACCUCUGCUAUCUGUUUCCUUGUCAUCUCAAACAAGGGAUAAUGCUCUCCUGGGAACAGUUUCACCUCGAAGAGACAGGCAGCUCCUCAAAACAAUAUGGUUAAUCUUCAAGAAUUUGUCUGCCAGCUGUCUUCCAGGAAGCAGAAUCAAGGAAUGGCCUGGUUAUCAAGGGUGGCUGGCUGGAGACCUCCUCUGCCUUCUCCUCUACCAUUGUCACUCUUGCUAUGAUUUACUUAAGGUAUGUUCUGAACCAGUGGAACAAAUGUUCUGUGCUCUCAAAGGCAAAAACUGCCUUGGAAACCAAAGUCAAACCCAAAGAAGGGAAGUGAUGGCCACUCAUUUUGUUACAAACCUCCACCUCAUUUCUGGAGUCCUGUCUGAGAUUUUCAAAUAUAUGAAAUGACACAUAUCUUAAUUUCUCACCUUGGAAAGCUCUCUGAAAUCUCUGCCGGAAAUUCAAGCUAUCUCCCACUUCAGCAAAGUUUCAGCAUGGGAACCUAAAAGGAAAGCAAGAGUCUGGUGUUUUACUGGCACUCUGCUGAAAAAGCAAAUUACCAAAGAAUUCAUGAUGUACUAUUCAAACUUGUGGCCACUGGGAACACGUCUAUCACUUUCAGUUUGCAUCCACAGUGAUGUCUCUGUAUUUUGUAAGCAGUUUUAGUAGUUAGAGCUCUCUGAAUGUUUCACACAUGCAUGGAAAUUACCAAAGUUGUUGCUGGUCAGUUUGGGAUUGAAAGUGAUGGCACAUCAGUAGUCUCUUCUAUACAGAAACAGUGAGGAAAAAGGAG
Gallus gallus (chicken) is the source of this 1005-nucleotide long non-coding RNA. The record is from Ensembl. NCBI's taxonomy places the organism in Eukaryota, Metazoa, Chordata, Aves, Galliformes, Phasianidae.